This is a ribosomal RNA of 496 nucleotides. The stretch from base 124 to 277 matches the Rfam family "5.8S ribosomal RNA".
CCCCCCCACCUCUCCACCCGAUGGGUACCCAGCCGCGUUUCUUUGGCGGCUCGCACGCCGCCCGAGAACCCCCCGUCAAACCCCCGCGAUCCCUGUCGUCGGAGCCGUAUCGAAUACGCACAAAACUUUCAACAACGGAUCUCUUGGUUCUGGCAUCGAUGAAGAACGCAGCGAAAUGCGAUAAGUAAUGUGAAUUGCAGAAUUCAGUGAAUCAUCGAAUCUUUGAACGCACAUUGCGCCCCUUGGUAUUCCGAGGGGCAUGCCUGUCCGAGCGUCAUUACACCCGUCAAGCUCCGGCUCGGUGUUGGGCCGGCGUCCCUCCGGGACGGGUCCGAAUGGCAGUGGCGGUCCGGCGUGGCUUCGAGCGCAGUAGACACCCUCGUUCGCUCGGGAGGCACGCCCGGGUCCGGCCAGUCAACCCCCGAACGCAUCAUCCGUUUGACCUCGGAUCAGGUAGGGAUACCCGCUGAACUUAAGCAUAUCAAUAAGCGGAGGA